UACGAAGGGGGCUAGCGGUGUUCGGAAUUACUGGGCGUAAAGCGCACGUAGGCGGAUUAGUAAGUCAGGGGUGAAAUCCCGGGGCUCAACUCCAGAACUGCCUUUGAUACUGCUUAGCUUGAGUCCGGAAGAGGUGAGUGGAAUUCCGAGUGUAGAGGUGAAAUUCGUAGAUAUUCGGAAGAACACCAGUGGCGAAGGCGGCUCACUGGACUGGUAUUGACGCUGAGGUGCGAAAGCGUGGGGAGCAAACAGG
Molecule: ribosomal RNA, 253 nt
Filed under: uncultured bacterium
Lineage: Bacteria
Description: partial 16S ribosomal RNA
Rfam family: Bacterial small subunit ribosomal RNA
Source: RNAcentral